GAUGAACGCUGGCGGCGUGCCUAAUACAUGCAAGUCGAGCGAACAGACGAGGAGCUUGCUCCUCUGACGUUAGCGGCGGACGGGUGAGUAACACGUGGAUAACCUACCUAUAAGACUGGGAUAACUUCGGGAAACCGGAGCUAAUACCGGAUAAUAUAUUGAACCGCAUGGUUCAAUAGUGAAAGACGGUUUUGCUGUCACUUAUAGAUGGAUCCGCGCCGCAUUAGCUAGUUGGUAAGGUAACGGCUUACCAAGGCAACGAUGCGUAGCCGACCUGAGAGGGUGAUCGGCCACACUGGAACUGAGACACGGUCCAGACUCCUACGGGAGGCAGCAGUAGGGAAUCUUCCGCAAUGGGCGAAAGCCUGACGGAGCAACGCCGCGUGAGUGAUGAAGGUCUGCGGAUCGUAAAACUCUGUUAUUAGGGAAGAACAAAUGUGUAAGUAACGAUGCACGUCUUGACGGUACCUAAGCAGAAAGCCACGGCUAACUACGU
RNAcentral lists this ribosomal RNA (496 nucleotides) under uncultured bacterium. RNAcentral describes it as "partial 16S ribosomal RNA". It matches the Rfam family "Bacterial small subunit ribosomal RNA", at positions 28 to 506 of the family's 1533-position model. The record is from RNAcentral.